GGGGUUUCUCUAUCAGCCCUGACAUGUGGCUCCCUUGGAUACUGUCUGCAAGCAAAUGUAUUUGUAAUGUUCACCCCCCCCAAAAAAAAAGAAAAGAAAACUGAGCUGAACAUAAUGUGUCAUCACGUACACACACAUCUAACAUGGACCUACAUAUUUCUUCUCAACAAGAUUAACUUUCUUGCUGUACUGAGCGCUCCUGCCCAUUUUCUAAAUGAUACUCUGCUGAUAUCUUUAAUCAUUCUGUGUGUCCGUUGCCAUAAAAGACGGGUAGCACGUGGCCAGGUGCUAGAGGCUGGGAUGCUUCCAUCAUCGGCUUUGAGUCUGUGGUGCUGUGGUUUUCAGUGGGAACGGAGGCAGAGGCGCUGGGCCCACAGAAUGGAGAGUCCUGCUCCCAGAAACGGCCUGGGCCGGCAGCCACAGAGCUGA
This 429-nucleotide long non-coding RNA is filed under the name Canis lupus familiaris (dog). Its description in RNAcentral is "lncRNA (ENSCAFG00845004944.1)". Lineage: Eukaryota; Metazoa; Chordata; Mammalia; Carnivora; Canidae. The record is from RNAcentral.